This 1581-nucleotide long non-coding RNA is filed under the name Piliocolobus tephrosceles (Ugandan red Colobus). RNAcentral describes it as "lncRNA (ENSPTEG00000016273.1)". The record is from RNAcentral. Lineage: Eukaryota; Metazoa; Chordata; Mammalia; Primates; Cercopithecidae.
UAACAUUCAUGCACUUUAAAUUUACUAAUACAAUAAUAAACAUUGUACUUUUUUUUUUUUUUUUUUUUUUUUUUUUUUUUUUAAAUAAUAAUAUACUUAUUUUAUAGUAAACAUAAUAUACUAAAAUAAUUAUAAUAAAAGUAACUUACACGAUGAAAACAUGUUUCUAGUUAGUACUUUUCUAAUUAUACAUAAAUUUUUUUUUUUCUAAAAUUAUAAAACUAUUAUGAAACCAUUUUGUUUGUUCUAAAUUAUUUGCUCAUUUUGUUUCUUUAUCAUAAUGUGCUUUUUUGUAUAAAUAUUAUUUUUGGUAAGUAUUUUUUUUUUUUAUCAUCACGUUUUACCUUGUUGUACUGCAAAAUUUAAAAAUUUUGUUUGUUUGCUUUUUUUUUGUUUUUUUAAAAAAAUUUAGUUAUAUCUUUAUACAAUUUAUAUGUUUAAAAAUGUAUAAGUUCAUAUAUAACUAAAAAUAUUGUAUAAUAUAUAAUUAUAUAAAGCCUGCUUAUAACGCAUAAAAUUGUUAAUAAACAUUCACUAACAUCAUUAUAAUAUAGUUAUAUGUACAAAAAUGUUUACUACAUUUUAUAAAAUAUUUUUUGUUUUGUUUUUUGUAUGGACUUGGAUCAAUAACACCAAAGUAGGCAUAGAAAAUAUACUAAAAGUAAAAUGUGAUAGAGUACUGGGUCAACGGGAUACCUCUCCAAAUGCACUUAUUGAUCGUCCUUAUUCAAAAACAUGUGAUGACACGUACGACUUUUCUAAACAUUUUGAACAAUACAUGACUAGUGAUAAUGAUCGAAAUAGCAAUAAUGCACAAAUUGUUGAAUAUUAUCAAAAUGUAUCAGUUUAUUUAACUGAUUUUAAAAAAGAAUUAACUAAAAUAUUAUAUAACCGAGAUGAUCCUCAAAUAAAUAUCAUACUAAUAGAAAAUCCAAACAUACAUAAAAAGAACUUACUAGAUAUAUAUGGUCUUAUUAAACAUGUCAUUUCAAGUGAUGAAUAUUUACAAAUUAUAGAUGAAACUUAUAAGUUAUUGCAAAGUAGACAACCUAAUAAUCAACAAGCUAAAAUAUAUUACAAAUCGUUGUUAUACUUACUAAACACUUAUUUCUUUCUUACAAAUAAUAAAACAGAUUUUAAAAAAAGGCUUAUGAACUUAGAAGCUAAACACGAACAAUCAUUAUUUAAAAAAAAAAAUUAAAAUUCAAAAAGAAAUAUUUAAAUAUAUUUAAACUUAGUAAAAAAAUAGAUAAACAUUUUAGGGCUAAAUUACUUGAACAAAUGAUAAAAGAAGAAAUAGAUCCAAAUGUAACAACGUCAUAUAAAAAAUAUUUUCAGAUAUUUUUUUAUCCAUUCGUUAUGCCAUUAUUUAGUUUUGCAUUUCUCCUUGCAGUUGAUCCUAUUGUAUCCAGUGGUGUCGCAUAUGCAAUAUAUGUACUACUGAUAGUUAUAUAUUUACAGACUAUAUAUAAAAUAUAUGAUGAUAUAAAAUCCAUAAACCGAAUUAUAGAUGGGUCAGAAUUACCAAGCAGAGAAAAUUUUCUCUAAUUAUAUAUAGAAUAAACAUAUUCUAACAGUACA